GCACACUUAGCUCAAUGUUUAGAGCAUCCCUCAUGAAUGCUGAGGUUGUGGGUUUGAGUCCCACAGUACACA
Transfer RNA from Puccinia sorghi, 72 nucleotides. It matches the Rfam family "tRNA". Rfam says of the family: Transfer RNA (tRNA) molecules are approximately 80 nucleotides in length. Their secondary structure includes four short double-helical elements and three loops (D, anti-codon, and T loops). Lineage: Eukaryota; Fungi; Basidiomycota; Pucciniomycetes; Pucciniales; Pucciniaceae. The record is from Rfam.